GGUUCAGUGGUCUAAUGGUUAUGAUUUUCGUCUCACACACGAAAGGUUCCCGGUUCGAUCCCGGGCUGAACCA
This is a non-coding RNA of Schizophyllum commune H4-8, 73 nucleotides long. The record is from Rfam. NCBI's taxonomy places the organism in Eukaryota, Fungi, Basidiomycota, Agaricomycetes, Agaricales, Schizophyllaceae.